GACAGAGGGUACAAACGUUGUUCGGAAUUACUGGGCGUAAAGCGUGUGUAGGCGGCCACGUAAGUCGGAUGUGAAAGCCCCGGGCUCAACCCGGGAAGUGCACUCGAUACUGCGUGGCUUGAGUACUGGAGAGGUUGGUGGAAUUCUCGGUGUAGAGGUGAAAUUCGUAGAUAUCGAGAGGAACACCGGUGGCGAAGGCAGCUUGCUGGGCCAGUUCUGACGCUGAGGAGCGAAAGCGUGGGGAGCGAACAGG
This 253-nucleotide ribosomal RNA is filed under the name uncultured bacterium. Its description in RNAcentral is "partial 16S ribosomal RNA". It matches the Rfam family "Bacterial small subunit ribosomal RNA", at positions 524 to 776 of the family's 1533-position model. The record is from RNAcentral.